UACGAAGGGGACUAGCGUUGUUCGGAUUUACUGGGCGUAAAGCGCGCGUAGGCGGAUCACUAAGUCAGGGGUGAAAUCCCGAGGCUUAACCUCGGAACUGCCUUUGAUACUGGUGAUCUGGAGAUCGGGAGAGGUUGGUGGAAUUCCGAGUGUAGAGGUGAAAUUCGUAGAUAUUCGGAGGAACACCAGUGGCGAAGGCGGCUCACUGGACCGGAACUGACGCUGAGGCGCGAAAGCGUGGGGAGCAAACAGG
This 253-nucleotide ribosomal RNA is filed under the name uncultured bacterium. RNAcentral describes it as "partial 16S ribosomal RNA". It matches the Rfam family "Bacterial small subunit ribosomal RNA", at positions 524 to 776 of the family's 1533-position model. The record is from RNAcentral.